GACGAACGCUGGCGGCGUGCUUAACACAUGCAAGUCGAACGGAAAGGCCCUGCUUUUGUGGGGUGCUCGAGUGGCGAACGGGUGAGUAACACGUGAGUAACCUGCCCUUGACUGUGGGAUAACUUCAGGAAAUUGGGGCUAAUACCGGAUAGGAGCUCCUGCUGCAUGGUGGGGGUUGGAAAGUUUCGGCGGUUGGGGAUGGACUCGCGGCUUAUCAGCUUGUUGGGGGGGAGUUGGCUUACCAAGGCUUUGACGGGUAGCCGGCCUGAGAGGGUGACCGGCAACAUGGGAACUGGGAAAGGGCCCGGACUCCAACGGGAGGCAGCAGGGGGGAAUAUUGCACAAUGGGCGGAAGCCUGAGGCGGCAACGCCGCGUGCGGAAUGACGGCCUUCGGGUGGUAAACCGCUUUCGCAUGUAACGAGGCGUGUGUGACGGUAAUGGGUAAAGAAGCACCGGCUAACUACGUG
RNAcentral lists this ribosomal RNA (468 nucleotides) under uncultured bacterium. RNAcentral's name for it is "partial 16S ribosomal RNA". It matches the Rfam family "Bacterial small subunit ribosomal RNA", at positions 28 to 507 of the family's 1533-position model. The record is from RNAcentral.